CCCAUCUCCAUCCCUGUGUUUCCCAUUCCCAUCUCCAUCCCUGUUUUCCCUAUCCCAUCUCCAUCCCUGUUUUCUCCAUUCCCAGGUGUGUUGGUGUUUCCCAUUCCCAUCUCUAUCCCUGUUUUCCCAUUCCCAGGUGUGUUGGUGUUUCCCAUUCCCAUCUCUAUCCCUGUUUCCCAUUCCCAGGUGUAUCCCUGUUCUCCCCAUUCCCAGGUGUGUUGGUGUUUCCCUAUCCCCAUCUCUAUCCCUGUUUCCCAUUCCCAGGUGUGUUGGUGUUUCCCAUUCCCAUGUGUAUCCCUGUUUUCCCAUUCCCAGG
Molecule: long non-coding RNA, 316 nt
Organism: Corvus hawaiiensis (hawaiian crow)
Lineage: Eukaryota; Metazoa; Chordata; Aves; Passeriformes; Corvidae
Exons: 3
Source: RefSeq, a predicted model, not a curated record